AUGGGGAAGCUGGCGAGGCUCGUGGACGGCAUCAAGACGAGGCUGAUCAAGAAGAAGGGGGAGGAUCAGGAGGAGGCGUCGGCGGCGUACUACGACAAGGUGGGCAAGACGGAGAGCAUGAGGGUGGAGAUCAGGAGCCGCCGCGCGCAGGAGCUCAUCGCCAAGAACCUCGCCGCCGCCGACUCCAUCGGCCACGGCGGCGCCAAGAAGGCCAAGAAGCGCUUCUUCGCCUUCUGA
This 237-nucleotide ribosomal RNA is filed under the name Triticum aestivum (bread wheat). RNAcentral's name for it is "partial small subunit ribosomal RNA". Lineage: Eukaryota; Viridiplantae; Streptophyta; Magnoliopsida; Poales; Poaceae. The record is from RNAcentral.